UUUCCCCCUUUCUCCUUAGUUCAUGAGAGAGAUCACUUGAGCAAAAAUUCAUGGUUGUUUUCUGAGAUUUUUGGAAGUUGGGAAUGGAGGCCCUAACCUCUUUUUGUCCUCUGGACGUAGAGAUCAGAGCAGAGUUGGUUUGUGUUCCUGUUCUUUGCUCUCACGAGCUACUGUUCAUCAGUUUUCCCCAUCUUGAUUCGUGUUUGUUUUGAGUUUUCUUUUGGGAUGUGUUUGGUCAGAUUGAUGCUUUGUCAAGUGAUGAACAAGAUCGCUAAGUGAUUUGAGCUAAUUCCACUUGUGCAUCAAGAACCAAGCAGAUUUGCGUUUUGAGAGAAAAACUCGUUCUUGUCUCAAAUCUGAAUAUUUCCUAGAGUUUGGAUUAAUCCUAGGCGAUGAUUUCUUGAGGAUAGAUUCGUAAUAAGUCGAGUUUCUCUUGUGCAAUUUUUGGGAAUUUUUCAUGGAGAUUUGGGGAGGUUUUCGUUGAAUUUCUUGGAGCCACCUUUUUCUGUUUUCUCUUUACCAUCUUCGUCGGGUUCUUACUGUGCUUUCGCGAGGACACCCGUGAGCCACUAGUGCUAGUUUCCUGGUCGUGUGCAUCUCCUGGCCAAGUUCCUUUUCUGCUGCAGUGUACUUGUUUUUCCUCUGGUUCUUUUUCUUCCUGUUCGUGUGCAGGGUCAGACAACAGGUCCUGCGUCGUGCUGCGCUCGUCCUUGGCCAGGAGCCCUGACUACUCACGUCAAGCAGGGAGUUCUAAGCAGAUAGCUGUCAAAUCAUUCAUCUAGCAAAUCUGCUUGAUCUCUGUUACUAGUAAACUGCAAGCUGCUAUUUUCUAAAGUAACAUUCAUUGCUUCUGAAGCUGCUAUUUUCUCAUCCAGUUUCUUCCAUGCUGCAAGUUCAGCAGCAAGUGUUUGCUUUGAAUGUUCAGUUUUGCAGAAGGUGGUCAAGCUGCAAGUGCAGCAGUAAAUGCUUGGUUUGAUCUCUGAUCGGUUCCUGCUUGGACGUGUAAUUUUUUAGAGCAACAGUGAAGUUCUGCUUCUUAGCUUCAUUAGCUUUUCCUUGGAGCAUUAAAUCAUUCCUUUCUGCUGAGAGUGUAGUCACGGUUGUGAAUUUUAUUUGUUCUCUGUGAAUGGUGUUAGCAGACUCAGUCUAGUGUAGUUCCUGGCUAAGCAAGUGCAGCUGCUGAUCUUUUUGUCUCUAUUUUCUAAGCUUCACAGUUAUGAGCACCUAGCUGUGCAGUCGUGCUGCUCCCAGAGCACUAGGCCUUUGUCCUUUUUUCUUUGUUAUCUGAUGAUCAAUUUUUGGGGAUUUUCUGUCAAAUUUUCCCAGCCACGAUUUCUUGUUUCGCUCGUAAUUUGGUCGUUUGAGCUCUGAUUCGUGUUCCGUUUGUUUCGUUAGCUUCCUACCGUUCCGAAGAAUUUUUCUAGAUACUCUCGUCACUGUUUCGCUAGAGUAUUUUAGUUUUGGAUUGUGUUUGCGCUUGGCGGUGAUUUUGGGACAGUGGCUAAACAUUUCGAAAGAAAUUUGAGGCUCCCAUUCACCCCCCCCUCUGGUCGCCUUUUUCGGUCCUUCACCAUGAAUUCCAAUUUAUGGAGUGGUUUUAUAUAUAUUUUGCAUAUUUCUUUCAUUUUAAACUUACCAACACCACAAAAUUGUGAGAGAACUGUAUCUACUACUAUUAAGAGUGAAAAGGUGCAUAUUUCUUUCAUUUUAAACUUACCAACACCACAAAAAUGUGAGAGAACUCUAUCUACUACUAUUAAGAGUGAAAAGGUCUACAAUCUGUACAUGAUUGAAUUUUUAAGUUUCCACACAUUCUCAGUAGCUGAUGGUGCACACGGGUGGGUUUGGAUCAAUGGAGAGGGCCUUUUCAGUUUCUUGAACAUCAACUUUCUGACCAGUGACAUCAGUGUGAUGCUUUGCACGGAGGGGAGGAAGACUGGAAGAGCAUGUUGAAGCUGGCUGAAAGGAUGGUGAUGAGAUUCCUUGGGUAGCUACAGUCUUUGUACUUUCAUGUUGAACAUGUUUGCUCUCAAAUUUGCGAGCACAGACAGGUGCUCUAUUUAAAAGGAAGAUUAAUUUAAAUCAAUUGUGUUGGUUUUUA
Long non-coding RNA from Sorghum bicolor (sorghum), 2101 nucleotides. RefSeq lists it as uncharacterized. The transcript is spliced from 2 exons. NCBI's taxonomy places the organism in Eukaryota, Viridiplantae, Streptophyta, Magnoliopsida, Poales, Poaceae. The record is from RefSeq and is a predicted model, not a curated record.